Molecule: ribosomal RNA, 236 nt
Filed under: uncultured Staphylococcus sp.
Lineage: Bacteria; Bacillati; Bacillota; Bacilli; Caryophanales; Staphylococcaceae
Description: partial 16S ribosomal RNA
Rfam family: Bacterial small subunit ribosomal RNA
Source: RNAcentral
GGGUGAGUAACACGUGGAUAACCUACCUAUAAGACUGGGAUAACUUCGGGAAACCGGAGCUGAUACCGGAUAAUAUAUUGAACCGCAUGGUUCAAUAGUGAAAGACGGUUUUGCUGUCACUUAUAGAUGGAUCCGCGCCGCAUUAGCUAGUUGGUAAGGUAACGGCUUACCAAGGCAACGAUGCGUAGCCGACCUGAGAGGGUGAUCGGCCACACUGGAACUGAGACACGGUCCAG